CAUAUACAUUUAAAUCUUUACCUGUAUGCAUGCUAUAGCAGUUGACUUUUUAAAAGGCCAUUAAUAUGUAAAAAGGUCUGGGUUUAUAUGAAAGGAUUUGAAAGAGAAUGAGAAAUGUAAUUAUAUUAUGUUGUCAAAAACAAAGCAAAAACAUUUUUUAUAAAAGGCCAAAAGUUGACCUCAGUUUUUCAGGGCUGAGCACAUUGUUUUUCUAAGCUCAGUGUGCGCUUACAUGGGAUCGUGUUGAGGCCAUGAACACGUCAGCUCUCUGGGGACAGAAUAACCGCACAGAUUUGCAUUUUAAGAUUUCCCUCUGCCUUUAAAAUACUAAAUAGAAUCUUUUAAAACAGGAUUUGUUUAUUUUACCUAUAUGUACAUGUGCAUGUAUGUGUGUGUAUUGUGUGUGUGUGUUGUGUGUGUAUCUGUGUGUAUCUGUGUGUAUUUGUGUGUGCGUGUGUGUCUGUGUGCGCUUCUGAAUGUAUGUAUAUGCAUCAUUCAUGCACGUGUCUUUAGAGACCAGAAGUAAUCAGUAAAUUCCCUAUAACUGGAGUUCCCUGCAGGUGUGAGCUGCCAUGGGAACUAGAUGAGGCUCCUCUUCAAGAGCAAAAAGUGCUUUUAACUGCUGAGUGAUUGCUCUAGUUCUGUUUAAUCUUAAUAUAAUAUUUAUUAUAAAGGAGAAAAUAUACCUCUACUCUGUCACUUCACAAACUUUAUAAACUUUAUAAAUUUGUAUUUUUAUUAUGUUCAAUAUUUGAUUUUUAAUUUGCGGCUCAGAGUGCAAUCUAAAGAGGAAGAAAAUAUUUUGAAAUAGGUUAAUAUUUUAAAAAAAUGUUUUAUGGUUAUACCUUGAGGUCUGCCAGAUGCCCAAUUGUAAGUUUAAUGUAAAAGAUUUCUCAGCUCCUUCCGGGAAGUUUCUUUGAGUAGAAAGCGUUUAUUGCUCUGUCCUUUGCUUUUCUUUCCCAAGGGCAGAAUCUUUCCUUGUAGGUAUGGAAUGGUUGCACUCACUAUGUAGGUCCUGAACACGCAGGCAUCCUCCUGCUUCAGUCUCCUGGAUGCUGGAUUACAAGUGCUGUGCCAGCACUCGUAGGUAUAUUUUGAUCCUAAAAAAAAAAAAAAAAAAAAAACAACAACACACACACACCAAACAAACAAACAAACAAACAAACAAAAAACAACAAAAACAACAACAACAACAAAAAAACCAAAAACCAAAGUGUGCUCAUUUAAGUUCAUUCUAUAAACACAUGCUUUUAGGGUUUUGUUUAAUUUGGUAAAUACUUUGUUCUUUCUUUAUCUUUGAGAUUCUAUUAUGAUUACAGUCUCCAUUUCCAUUGUCUCUUUCCAAAUCUUCCCACAUGCUCCUUUUGCUCUUUCAAAUUCAUGGCUUCUUUUCCAUUAAUUGUUACUUGCAUACACACAUGCAUACAUAGACAUAUAUUCAUAUACAUCCCCAAAUGUAAAUCUGUUCAGUCUGCAUAGUGGUACUUGUAUGAAUGGUUCCAGUACUUAGCACUUGGUAGUGUAUGCUUUGUACUGAUCACUUGGUACUGUGUGCUUUUCCCUGGGGAAGGGUGUUUCUCUCACUCCUUAUUUGCCUGUAGUUCUUGCUAAAUGUCUUCUCUUUCACUGUUAUUUAUAAAUAAAAUAUAAGAUCUCUUAUAAUGUAUACAUAUAAUCUGUUAGUAAUUUCACCUUUAAAAAUUCUGUCACAUUUACAUUUACACUAAUUUUACCUUGAAUAAAAUUAGAACAUCUAAUAGUUAUUUUGAAACUGAUAAGAUUUUCAUAUGUAAAGUAAAUAAAAUUUACUUUUCAAACUGAGAAAAUAGCAAACACACACAUACACACAUACAUGCACACACACAUACUCACAUACACACAAACACACCACACACACAUACACCCCAAUACCCUUUAAUUUGGUUACAAUUUCAUGUUUUCUUGUUUUGAAAUAAUAUCUAAUUCCUUUUAAAUGAUUGUAUGAAAUUAUCUUUAUUUCUUCUUAUGCCUUUCAAAAACAAUGAAAUUGGAUAGUUUAUUCAAACUCAAUUCAAGUUAAUUUUAUUCUUUGAUGUAUACCGUAUAUUUCUGUAUAUAGAUUAAUCACAAUACUUGGCAGAAAUAAUACUUUCCUACCCUUUAAAUUCACAUGAUGUUUCUUAGCAAGCUGGUUAAUGUACUGGAUGCUAAAUAUGUAUCUUACAAAUAUAUAUUUCAUAGACAUACACACACCUACAUGAAAUUUAUACUUCAUAAUUUGGUUGAUUACUAAGCAUAUUUUGUUUUAAAUAAAAAUUACAGAUUUGAAACAGGCUUUUAAAAUAAAGCUGCUCCCUUCUUAAAAUAAAUGUUCUACUAAAGCGCUUCCUGACAGGAAUGAUUUCUUAGCAGUUUAUUAUAAAUUCACUGUAUUUUAUACCAUAAGUUUAAAGUCUACCCAAGAGAGGAUCAGACACUCAAAUAAAUCCUCCUCAUAUUUAAUUGCCUAACAGAGUUAGUAAGUCUGCAGAGCAUUGCAGUAGAAUAUUCAUAUAGCAUGUUUAUGUACACAGCAUACUGAUAAGUAUUUUAGAGUAAAAGCUGCUUUGUUUCCUGCAGGGCCCUCUUUCCCUUCAACCCCUUCACAGUUCCUAUAACCUUGCUGUGUUCCUAAGUUCGAAUCCUUGGUCUAUCUCUCUGCCCUCUCACCUUUCUCCAGAGAGCACAGAGAAACCCCAUGAUUUGUUAUCACCAUUAGGAGUACUGUUCACAAUUUUGCCAUCCCUCCCGACUUCCACCUGCAUGUCCGAGAGCUUAUGUGAUUUUCCACUUGGAUGCCCAGUUGUCACUACAUUAUCUGUGUUUAACUGAACUUAAUAACCAUGUGACUCAUGGAGGCUUUCAGAUUUUGCUUAUAUAAUUCUCUCAGUCAUUAGCUCUAUCCUUUAAGGCACAUCUAAGGAGAGACCCACUAGACACAACCCCACUUCUGUGGUUCCUAUGACGUUAGUAAGGAACCCAAGCUUUUGACAUUCUCAGUCUUGGUACAGAGUCCUAAGACUCUGUUAUAUGUAUGAGAGAGAUCCAAUGCACAGAAUUCUUUAUACAAAUGCUACUUCUGGUUUUGCUAUACUAUAUAAAAAUAAAUGAUUGGGGAAUGUAUGUGCUAGACCCUAGUGAUGUGUGAGAAAUACAUCAUUUGACUUUGUAGAUUUAAAUGUUUCUAUGGUCAUUACUUCGUAUUUUACUGUCCCCCACUUUCCUGAAAAUCAGCUUCUGUGAAUGUAAAGACGAAGCAAUUCUAAUAUUUGACAAGUUUGAAUAAUUUCUUAUUAAGGUAUGGCAGGGAAUAGCAGUACAUAAAAUGUUAUUUUAUGGAGGUAAGAUUUGUUGAUUUUGUACGAUGGUCAAUUUUAAGUUAUAAUUAACUCUACUAAGCAUUUCCCUGAAUUAUACAAGUAUGACACAAUAAUUUCCCUUUAGGUUGAAUUCUGCAUAGAUGAAGAUUAGUUAUUUUUUUAUUAAUUCCUUUUAUCACAGUAUGGCUUUCUUUUAUGCUUAAAGUAGCAUUUCUUCCUCUUUUUUUCCUAUUGAAUCCAAGAAAAGUUUUUAGUGAUUGAAAUUUUUCUAGCUCUGUAUUAGUCCCUGCCUAACCGUGUAGGCUCUUGUCAAUCUCCGUGUUCCUUAAUCACGCACCUAGCUGGCCAGCACAUAGCUUAUGUUAGCUCCGUGUCUCAUUGUUUUGGUUUACAGAAUUACUGGCUCUUCAUGGUGAGAAAGUUCACAGUCUAAUUCGGAUCCUACUGUCCAGAAAAAUGGCUUCAAUUGUCCUCCAAAUCCAGCUUUAUGAACUAGUCCUAGACCCUAACUAAUAGCCUUUUCUAUUAACUGCUAAGUGAGGCAGCUGUCUGAGCUGCUGGUUGUAAAUUUGCUCAUGUCUAUUUCUCUAACUCUGCUGCAAAACGCAGCAGAGAACAGGAUCACAGUUCCCGAACCUCUAUUUUCACAGCCCAAACUGAGCCCCAAAGGGCUGAUGGGAAAAGUUUGAAGAGGUGCAAGGAAGCAUUUGUUACCUUGGGGGAAAAGGGAUGGCUCUUGCCAUUAAUCUUAAUUAAUUGCCAAGAAUUUUAAAUCUGAGUUAUUAAUACUGAUGUUGAGCCCUUAAUUUGCCAUUCGUGCCUUGGUAUCAAGUAGUGUUUUAUGAGAUAAGAAUUUUAGGAGGCAGAGAAGUGUGUGUGUGUGUGUGUGUGUGUGUGUGUGUGUGUGUGUGUGCGCGUGCAUACACUCUCAUGAGUGUACCUUAUAUAAUUUUUUUCAUUUAUAUCUUUCCAGUAUUAACUUAGGUUAAUAUUCAGGCCUUCACCUUUUGACAGUUGCUGUGAGCAUGCAGAAAUGAUGAGCAAGUAACAAUAAACCCAAAUAAAAACUCUAGAUACAGCAGAAGCAGUAAGUCUGAGUAAUGUUACUUUCAUGGUUACCUGAAUACUAAAUAGCUCACUGAUGUCAGGGUAGAUGCCAGAUUGUGGGGUGACAGAAGGCUGAGGAUCAGAGCUAGAGUAAGGAAGAGGAAAAAGACAGAAGAAAGCAGAUGAAGAAAGAAGAAAUAUUAUUUCUCUGAACACUAUUUAAGAAAUCAGGACAUGACAGGCUUGUUUCGAUAAAAGACAACAAAUGAUGCAUUUUUAACUUUUGCAGUCCUGAUCAUAUCUGAAGUAAAUAAACUUAUUCUUAAAAUCCCCUCUCCCUUCCUUCUGAAACUUACUGUUAACUUUUACCUCUUACCCUUUACGUUUGUGGCAGCGUUCUGUGUUACUUUUCAAUGACAAGUUAUAACUAACAACUUAUGAUAUUUAUUAGCAUUUCUGGCUGCCAAAAAUGGCAUGUAAAUCUUCAAGGGAAGAUCUUUCAAAACUAGAUAGGACUAUGAACUUCUGAGAUAAUUUUUCAGGAUUGUUCUCCAUGUGUUUGGAUUAAAAAAAAAAAACAGUGGCAAUAUAUAUACACGAAUGGCAAAUUAAGGGCUCAACAUCAGUAUUAAUAACUCAUAUAUAUAUAUAUGUAAUUUAUGGAAUAAUUGUAGCUCUCCUACAUAGACCUUGAGCUGAUAGAAGUGACUUAAACUUCAGAAGUAUGGUUUGUUCUGGGGUGGGGGUAGGGGGGCAGGCAUUGUUGAUGGUGAACAGAUUUAGAGCCACAAAUUGGAUGUUGAAGUAGAUGGUAUUAUUUUGCAGUGUUUUAUUUCUUUUUAUGAGUGCUUUACAUAGAACAUAGAAAAAAUACAGAAAUGAAAUAUUCUAUUCAUUCAUCUCCUGGCUUAAUUUAUAUACAGUAACUAUUGCAGAUGUAAAAGCCCUCUGAUGCCAACAGUGUAGAUUUAAUUUAUAGGCUCUGAAGAGCCCACAAAAGUUUCGAAUGGUCAGUGAUCACACACUACAAAGGAGGUUAGGACUCUGCUCUCGGAAGCCUCUCAGAUUGAGGUGUGCAGAGGAAAUGGUUUUUUCUUUUUUUCCUCAGCCUCUACUGAUGGGUUCUGCAUUCAUCAGUAGUCAUUCAUUAUGAGUUAGUACUAGCAAGAAAGCCUGUGGUACUGCAGCUCUGUUGGUUUAAGACAUCAGCAGAUGCUUGUAGAAGACAGCAAGUGAUAUAGGUCUUUUUUAGAACACCAGUUUGGUUUAGGAACUGAGACUAUUAUGGAUCCACAGUUGCACACGUUUUUUUGUUUUUUUGUUUUUUUUUUUGGUGUUUAGAGGCCUCUUUCCUUGUUUCUUGGGAAUGUUUGAGUGAAUCACUAAGGCUCGGAAUUUCUGGAUUCCCAGCUGCUUGAGUGGCUGGGUGGCUGGGUAGCUAGUGUAGAGAAGCAGGGGUUGCAGUUCCUGAGGGAGUUUAUGGCUCUUUCCAGAGGAAGGAUUUAGAGCCCCACUUCAGCCAGGAGCUAAGUAUCUAUGCCAUCUUUGGUUUAUCUAAUAUUCUAUCUCAUUUUUGUCUCAAUAGUCUCAGCGUUAAGCAUCAUAUCAGUACCAUUUAGGUAUGGAAAUAAGGAGAUGCUGAUAUUCACUACGUUCUUCAGCGUCUCACUGUUGGAAAGUAGUCAGGCCUAGACUGCUUAAAUUCAGGUUCUUUGAUUUCUCAUUCAACAAGUAUGAUGUACUUCCGUACUAAUUUUAUUUGUUUGUUUGUUUUUGUUUUGUUUUGUUUCAGUUUUGUUGUUAUCGCUGUAUAAUCCUGAACUUGCAGCAAUCCUCCUGCCUCAGCCCUCCUAGGAUUAUAAGUCUAUGCCGCCCCAUCCAGUUCCAAGCUGUCAUUUUACAGAACAUUUGGUAUUUUGAACAACUACCUGAAUGAGGACCAUUCUAUAGGUGGGGAGGUGCUUUUAAACUUUAGGAAUUUUUUUUUGAAUUUGAUUCUCCUGCCAACUAAAUCAUCAUUACUGAGGAACUGCAUUUGUCAUGCAUGCAGAAUGCAUGCAUGUUACUCUAGGAUAUACAUAUAUACUUUAUUUAAUUUGUGUGCAUUGAUUAAUAAAAUUGAAUGAAUCAAUUUGCAACCCAGGGGCAAUGGAUUCCACAGGAAGUUCAUAAGGUAGAAUAAGGAAUAAUUGAACCAAGAUGGAGCUUAGCAGUUGUGUGAUUUAAUGCCUUUGACUAUAGUUUGACCCAUACUUUUAAUUCCCAUAGGAGACAAAGAGCUAGUGCACACAGGAAGCACAAGCUCUUUUCUAUGUGGGCACAGAAAACAAGGAGUCGGGAAGGAGUCUUGUUAGAAGAAGGCAAAAUUAAUGCCGCUCUAAUACCAUAUGCAACUAGAAAGACUACUUCCUGGGAGCCUGGGGAUCCGUGAUUUCUACACGGUCACUGAUUUGUGUCAGUCUAGCACAAGUUUCUAAUCCGGCUGUCCCUUGGGGUUUUCAUUUGUGUAGAGUCUGAAAAGAUCACACACACACACACACACACACACACACACACACACACACACACCACAUAAAUAUAUGCGCACAUCCGCACACAUACACCUCUCUUUUGGAUGUGGAUGUGAACUUGCCUUCUUAUUUUAUAUUUUAAUAUGAAAACUAAACAAGACAACUCUAUGCAAAGGACCUUGUCCUGUUUUGCUCCUGGUGGGGAUCCCUGGACCCUAUUCAUCACCUCUCAGAAAGGAAGCUUUUAAGAGAAUUUAUAUUGGCAAAAAUGUAGUUUGCUAUCAAAGUAGCACAUAUUUACUCAUAGUAAUAAAAAUUUUCCUAGGCUAUCCAUGGUUAGAAAAAAAUAAACAUUUUUCCAUAACAUAUAAGCCUGAAAAAUGGCAUGCGCUCCCCAUAAUAUGCAGAAAUCUGCUAAGUGACUCUCACAAAGCCACAAUUCUAGCUCCAUGGUGGCCUUUAUGUGCCACUGUUAGGCUUUAAGAUAAAUUGAAAAUAGCUACAUAUGGAAGGAAGUUAAGGGGAUGAAGAUUUAAGAGACCCAUAUAGCUAAUUGUAAGCUAACGUUCUAUUUUUAUAACAUCGCUCCUUCUUCAUGAUUUUCCUAAAAAAAAAAAAACACCCUUAAUAUGUGAUAUUGGAUUAUUAUCACAGUCAUUUGAUAGGUUGUGAUUUGCUACUGUGUGUCUGAAAAACACAAGCUUUCCCUUUAUGUAAUAGUUGUUCACAAAAGGGCACUAACAUGUCCCUGUCAUUAAAUAUAUAUAGAUACAUGGAGCUACUCUCCCGUUGGGUCACACUAAAAUUGAUUUUUCCAAGCAGGGCUAACAAUACUAGACAAAUGUUAAAUGAAAAUCAAUCACUGUGAUUUAAAUUAGAUAAAUACACUCCUUUUAUUAAGUGGUCUUUCCCCAUACAGCUAACUGGAUGACAGAUAACAUUCAUUGCAGAGUUUGACCUCUAGGCCCAGGUUUCAAUAAAGCUCUAAGGAGAACGGCUUGCUUGUGAUUUUAUUCUUUAUCAUGCUUACCUUACUCUUGAUCAAUUAGAUGAAACAUGUUUUUUUUUUAGAUUGUUUAUAAGUUGAAAAAUACUAAUUAACUAUAUUUCCCUAGGCACUUAAUAUUAAAUACAUGUAAUGCUUCAUUAAGAAUAGGACACUAGGCUAGUUUUAUCAGGGCAAAACUUUAGUUUUAAACAAGUAAACAAUCUAAAAUCCAGAAGUUACCAUGACAUUAAGUGCAGUGAGUGAUAAUCAUAUUUAUGUAGAGGCACUGUGAAAGCAGAGUUCAGAGGUCAAAACCUGAAGAAAGCACUCAGGAAGUCCAAGGACACGUUCUAAGGACAUUAACAAACACAGCCAUCGUGACUAUUGUCACUGUCAAUGCCAAGAAUAAAGGAAGUCAAUCUUAGGAGUUUGGUGUGCCAGACAGACACUCUUCUAGGGACCUUACAUAUAUUAAUUCUUAAAAACAACUCAUUGUGAAGGAUCUUAUCCCUAUUUUAAAGCUAAAACAGCCAAGGCAGAGGAAAGUCAGGUGAGUUACCAAAGUCUUGCCAAUGGGUGAAAUGAGUGAAUUGGACUUCAUAUGGGUUGUAAAAUGUAAAAAAAAAAAAAAAAAAAAAAAAAAAGAAUAAAUUUUUAUUUAUACUUUAAAAUUUAUUGAUUGCCUAUACAUAAAUGACCAGUGGUUUUGAACCCAGUGGCUUGCUUCCUGGUAUUGGCCCAUGGAUUCAAUUGGAAGAGUAUAGUGAAGUGAAAUUUAACAAUUAACAAAUGAAGGGUAGGUAGCAGUGAACUGUUUCAAUAAAGUAGGAUGCCCCACCACCAAAUAUGAGACAUUUGAAGCAGAAACUCUGAGUGUCUUAAUAUGUUACUCAGCUGUAAAUAUUUGGGUAAAAAUAUUAAUUGUAGACUUUGGAAUUACCUAUGGAUAUCAUAAAGGGGCCAGGAAUAACGAUAAGGCCUAUGUACUUACUUCUUUAAAAGGAAUAGAAUAUAGUAAAAGAAAAGGUUACUCUUAAUAUGGAACUAUCAAAAUAGAUGAUUUGUUCCCAAUCUAGAACUGCAGAGGAAGAAGGAAGAACUCCACUUGAAGGUUUGGCUUUCCAUCCCAGUUAUAGUUUUCAAAUAGCAAAGCUCUCGUUCUCACUUAUAGGAAAAUCAUAAGUUUCCGUUUGGAUAUUGAUUAGUGCCAUCAUAUAACUUACCACUUGUGAUUCUUUCUUGAAAUCUGCUUGUCAGAGUAUUUCCCCAUCAUCUGAGACCUCAGUUAAAUUUAUAUUGAGUUUGUAGCUUAUUUGCAAGGCCAUUCUUUCUACAAACGUGGGCUCUCAUUUUGACCUAUGGCAUAACUGACUGCACCCGUCAAAGGUAACUCCUUAUCUGUCUGAUAGUGGCAUGCCCACCAUCCUCCUACAUCCUACAAAGCUCUAAGUCUGAGAUGGUUACUAAAAUGUCCUUUCAUUUUCAUGAAAAUUGAGGCAAGCAUACUGUCAGUUUCUCUUUUAAAGAUGUAUGUAGGAGUUCAUGCUUAAACAUAGGAAUUCUGGCCUCCUCGUGGGAGGUUCAUUGGUACACAGCAAGUGCAGAGCCCUGCAGUGAGCAGGCUGCCUCAUGUUUCUCAUAGUCCAUGGGUGGCCAAGGAUACCCACUAAUGGUAUUCUUCCAGAACCAGUGUUGUUAAGCACACACUUUGAAAGAUUUUCAUGGCAUGGUGUGGUAAUGCUAUUAAUUAUUGAUGCUAUUAAUUUUGCUAAGAAAAUGCCUUUGUACUGACUUGCAGAAAACAGAGAAUUCCCUUGCUUCAAGGAUGCCAUUCUUGGUAUAUCUUGCAUAGACACAAUUGUAUUAGUUUAUCCAAAGCAAUGAUAAGACUAUUCAAUCAUAGACAUAAGAAAAAGAUUUAUGACAGGCAUGGUGGCUCAUUCCUGUAAUCCCAGAACUAAGGAGGCGGAGGUAGAAGGAUCGUCUUGGGUUCAUGGUCUGGUUGGAUUACUCGAAGAUUACUCAAUGCUUAAGAGCACUGGCUGCUCUUGCACAGGACCUGGGUUCUCUCAGCACCCACAUGGCAGCUCACAAUCCAUAGCUGUCUGGAACUUUAGUUCCAGGGAAUCUAACACUUUUUUCCUGGUCUUUCUGGGCACCAGGCAUUUAAGUGCUGUACAUAUGCACACACAGGCAGACAUCUCUCCAUGAAAAAAAAAAAAAAAAGACAGAAGAAAAGAAAAAUAUGUAAUUUACAUCUUAAAAACUCAAGUUAUUUAUAGUAAGUACUUUUUUUUUCUUUUCACUUACAUAAUCUGCUAUUUUGUUUCUUUCUCUAGUUCUCUUCAUAUUACUUUUGAGAGUAAACCUGAAGCUCACCAACUUAACAAGGCUAGCUGUCCAGAAAGUGCAGGAACCACCCAAUUGCCUCCCCAGGUCUGGAGUAAUGGAGAGACCUUCCAUCUCCCUCCCUAGCUCCGGGGUGAUGGAGGAACCUCCCAUCUGCCUUCUUAGCACUGCGAUGAUGGAAGGACCUCCUGUCUCCCAGUGCCUGGGUGAUGGAAAGAUCUCCCAUCUGCCUCCCCUGCGCUGGGGUGAUGGAGGGAGCACCAAUCUGCCUCCCCAGCACUGGAGAUGGAGCGUGCACCACUUGGCUCUGCUCUGCUUCUUAUGAAGACAUGUGGGGCUAAAACUCAGGACUGUAAGCCUGUGUAGAAACCACUUUACCACCUGAGAUGCCUUCCCAGCCAGGGCUAGAAGUUCAUUUGGUUUGGUUUGUUUGUUUGUUUUAUUUUAGUGUAAUGGAAACAGUAAGGUUUACUAACAGAAAGCAAUCUAGGUCUCGCCUUGGCCAUCUUUCCCAGGAAAGAGCUUGGUUUAGGAGAGGAUGGAAAUUUGUUUCACACCUGGCUGCUCCUUAUUCCUUCUCUCACCAGAGCCUCAUGAGGUGUAGGUUAGAAAUGACCCAACAGCCAGCAGGUGGCAAAGGCUACCAUCAGCCUGCCCCACAUAGCAAAGCUUUCCUUUAUAUGCUUAUAAUUCACCAAGGAGCAGUCUUGAGGCAUCGAGGAUGCUGAUUGUCUGUGUCUGUGCACAGCAUCUGCCAUUUAUAUUUUUAGGAUACACUGUACUUUUCCAGGGAGUACCCUCUAAGGAUUGUCGUAGACACUGACAACCAGCUGACCUCAGUCAGUGACAGCUACUGCAGUUGAAUCCAGCUCUUGUCACCAUCGAUGACUUCCAUCGGACACUGUAUCCCGGCCAUCUUUGCUUAGUGGACACAUAUGUUCAUUAGAGUAACUCCUGCCUCUCACCAUCUCCUUAAUAGAUAGCUCCUACGUGUUGCAGACAUGUAACUGUCGUGGAACAAUGCACCACGCCCAUGUGAUUUGCUCUUCUCCUGCUGCUUAUGAGCAGUCCUGUCUGCUCUCUUGUCUCCUUUCUCACGACGUUGAAAUACAUUUCACAGCUAAAUUGAUGAAUUUUCAUUAUGCCACUCCUCAGUUUCAAAGGAGAUGAUCUUCCUUAGUUUCAAAGUCAUAGCCUGACAUUUAUUAAGGAGUAAUAUUUUCUGAACAUAAAGCAUGGCCAGUGGAUUUGAGUCUCUCUUUUUUUUUUUUUUUUUUUUUUUUUUGUCCUGCUAUAACAUCCUGGAGAGCUAGAGGAGAAAUCAGAGAACCAGCAGUAGUGCUGACACAGGAGAUCCUGACUGUAAAUCACCCACAGAACCUUAACGUCUAUAUCCAACCUUUGCUCUAAGCCAACCGUCUCCCUUUCAUCUCCUUUCUUCUUCUGCCUUAUCACUCCACCUCUCCCUUCAUCACUUCUCUUCCACUCAACUGAGCUGCUGAAGUGGAAGUGGAAGAGAUCUCCUUGGUGGUUUUAAACUUUAAAUCUAGAGUUGUCAUGAUAGUGUGUGUUAUUGAAUGCAUUGAUCAGUUCCUUUGCUACAGAUAUUGGCAUCUGAUACAUCUGACUGUUUUAUUUUUGUUGGUUUUUUAUUAUUAUUUUUAUUAGGUAUUUUCUUCAUUUACAUUUCCAAUGCUAUCCCAAAAGUCCCCCAUACCUUCCCCCCCACACUCCCCUACCCACCCACUCCCACUUCUUGGCCCUGGCGUUCCCCUGUACUGAGGCAUAUAAAGUUUGCAAGACCAAUGGGCCUCUCUUUCCACUGAUGGCCGACUAGGCCAUCUUCUGAUACAUAUGCAGCUAGAGACACGAGCUCCAGGGGGUACUGGUUAGUUCAUAUUGUUGUUCCACCUAUAGGGUUGCAGAUCCCUUUAGCUCCUUGGGUACUUUCUCUUGCUCCUCCAUUGGGGGCCCUGUGAUCCAUCCAAUAGCUGACUGUGAGCAUCCACUUCUGUGUUUGCUAGGCCCUGGCAUAGCCUCACAAGGGACCCUGAUAUAGACAUCUGACUAUUUUGAGUUUUGCCUAAGACCCUUUUUGUUGAUAUCUGUUAUGGUUCCUCCUUUCCCGGCUUAGGAGACUUAUCUAAACUUAAAAAAAACAAACUAACAAACAAACAUAUAGUUAGUUCGUGUGUGUGCAUGUGCGUGCAUGCCUGUGUGGGUGUGAGUGUGAGUGUAUGUGCGCAUAUGUGCUCCUCCCACAUUCCCAAGUGCCACAGUGUGAAUGGGGAGGGCAGAAGACAACAUUUCAGAGUUAGCUCUCUCCUUCAGCCCCGUGGGCUCUAGGGAUGGUUGUCAGGCGUGGCAGCAGGCACAUUUGACCUCUGAACCAUCUUACAGGCUCCAGGACAGCAAAUCCAAAGUGAACUUUUGAAUUUUUUUUUUUUUUUUUUGGUGUCUUAACCUGACACUUUAAGAAAACCAAGUGUGAUGCCUGAAGUUUAGAACAGCGUGGUUUUUGAAUGUGCCGUGGUUCACCCUAGCUUUAUCGUCAGAAGCACAGAGUCAAACGCUGCCUUCCUGAUUUACUGGUGAUUGGCCUGGGGCAACAUAGAUCUUUGUUUUAGAACAGACUUUGUCAACUGAAGCUCCAUCAUCUUUGAACCCCAGAAGAGAGGCAAUGUUCUAAGAGAUUCUUCUUGGUUUUCUCAGAGAUGCCACACGGCCAGUCCAAGGCCUGCUUGAGAGGGUGGUUUCUAUGCAGACCACACAUCUUUGAGCAUCCAGUCUUCAUGCUCUCAGGAACCUGGCUUAGACAGGCUGAUGGGGACAAAUUUAAUUUUCUACCAUAUUCUUUCUACCACUACUUUUUUCUCAUAAAUUGAAAAAAAGAUUCAGUCUUACAAUAUAGAAACAAAUGCAGAGAAGUGGUAUUUUCUUAUUUUUUAAUUCCCCCAUUAGUAUCAAAUGACAAGGUGUUUCCUAUGAAGCUAAAAUUAUUUUCUCAAAUGCCUAUUUUCUAUAAGAACUUUUUUUUGUAUUCAUAAUGAAUAGGGCAGAGCUAUUUUAACUUAGACUGACUCCUAACUGUAUUUGUGAAAUUAAGCUCCUGGCUACAUUAUGCUUGGGGAGAGAGUCUUUUUCUGAGUUUUGGAGUAUCUGCAGGCAAGGUUUUUGAAAGCCGAUCCUGGUUAUUGUGCAUGCCUGGACAUUCCCCUUAAAUUGUAUCCUCACUCAGAAAUGACCUUGUUAGGUGAGGAGGAAUGGCAAGAGAGACACGCCGUGCCUCAUGAGAGCCAAGUGGAGCCAUGCGUAUCAGGAGCAGACACUAACGAUUUAUUGUCUGUGGCAAAGGAAACACAGCUCUCGGCCCGUGCGGUGAGACACCUAAAUGUACUGGAAGAAGAUGCCAGAUGGACACAAGAAACCCCAGCAGCUGGAAUACUGAAUUAUGUAACAACAACAACAAAAAUGUAUCUUGGUCCUAUCCUACACCGAGGAUUUCAAAUUAGGGGAUGAUGUGUUUAUAAAGACAGAAAACCUAAAAUUGUCUUCCCAGCUUUAUUUUGUGUUAUAUCAAUACCCAGCUUCACUUUUUGUUGAGGACUAAAUGAGUUAAGACACUCGACUCACUGUGAGCAUUGCCAGACCUGGAAUAAACACGCUCAGUGAUUGUAGCCAUGUUAGCCUUUGGGGCUGAUACACAGGCAGAGAAAGCAGAUGCUGACUCAAGACUCUGGAAGCUGGAAUGAUGCGAAUUUUGAGGCAUGAGCUUUCCCCAUACUCGAGUUAAAUAUUGCUAUCUAAUGAUGCGUUGUGAGAGUAUCCUCCUAAAAGUGGAAUAUACACACUGGUCAUAUUUUGUGCAAUGCUUAGUGUACUGAGUGGUCUUCUGUCAGGCAGCAGAUCUCCAUAGAUCUCCCUUCAUUAGUACCUGCAGUGGGCAGCUCUUCUUGGGUGUGGCAUGAAGGGGAAGGCUUUUGCUCCUGGCCAAGCUUGCUCUGGUGUCAAAGAAACUGUUUGCAGUAAAUAGCUUGAAAUGAAGAUGAGAUUAAACAAACAUGCUUUAAAUCAACACAUGUCUGUUUCUAAUAUAUUUCUACUUGAUUAUUUAUUGGAAUAUGCAAGAAUACAAUGUUGUGAAAUCACUGAAUGGCUGAGAGUAUAAUUUCUAAUUCAAUUUCUUCAUCUUGCUGUUGGCAGUUGUUCCUCGGGCUCUGGGGAUGAAACAUUGAACUAUAAC
This is a long non-coding RNA of Mus musculus (house mouse), 14475 nucleotides long. RefSeq annotates it as predicted gene, 57843. The transcript has 2 exons. NCBI's taxonomy places the organism in Eukaryota, Metazoa, Chordata, Mammalia, Rodentia, Muridae. The record is from RefSeq and is a predicted model, not a curated record.